RNAcentral lists this unclassified non-coding RNA (325 nucleotides) under Zea mays. RNAcentral's name for it is "misc RNA Zm00001eb106540". The record is from RNAcentral. Lineage: Eukaryota; Viridiplantae; Streptophyta; Magnoliopsida; Poales; Poaceae.
CCAAUAGUUCGAGGUUCCGCGUUGGACGACAUGGUGCCGGUGCAGAUGCCGGCGAAGCAGCUGGCGGUGGCGAUCUCCGGCGCCGCCGCCACAAUAAUGGCGGGGUCGCCCAGCUGCCUGCAGUGCCGGUGCUGCUCCAGGUCGAGCCCUGGGACAUGCGUGACGACCACCUGCUGCUCCAGCUUCAAGUGCGACAGCGGCGGCAGGUGCAACCUCGUGCAGGAGAAAUGCGGCUGCAGCGGCUGCGGCAACUCCAACUAGUCGGCCGGCCGCCGGCGGCCGCCUACUUGACCGGCAUGCAUCGGAUCGGAUCGAUGUAUGGGAG